Molecule: ribosomal RNA, 374 nt
Filed under: uncultured prokaryote
Description: bacterial SSU rRNA
Rfam family: Bacterial small subunit ribosomal RNA
Source: RNAcentral
UACGGGAGUGGCAAGCGUUAUCCGGAAUUAUUGGGCGUAAAGCGUCCGCAGGCGGUUCUGUAAGUCUGCCGUUAAAGCGUGGAGCUUAACUCCAUUUCGGCGGUGGAAACUGCAGGACUUGAGUGUGGUAGGGGCAGAGGGAAUUCCCGGUGUAGCGGUGAAAUGCGUAGAUAUCGGGAAGAACACCAGUGGCGAAAGCGCUCUGCUGGGCCAUAACUGACGCUCAUGGACGAAAGCCAGGGGAGCGAAAGGGAUUAGAUACCCCUGUAGUCCUGGCCGUAAACGAUGAACACUAGAUGUCGGGGGAAUCGACCCCCUCGGUGUCGUAGCCAACGCGUUAAGUGUUCCGCCUGGGGAGUACGCACGCAAGUGUG